AUUGAACGCUGGCGGCAUGCUUUACACAUGCAAGUCGAACGGCAGCGCGGGCUUCGGCCUGGCUGCGAGUGGCGAACGGGUGAGUAAUUCAUCGGAACGUGCCCAGUAGUGGGGGAUAGCCCGGCUAAAGCCGGAUUAAUACCGCAUACGACCUGAGGGUGAAAGCGGGGGACCGAAAGGCCUCGCGCUAUUGGAUCGGCCGAUGUCGGAUUAGCUAGUUGGUGGGGUAAAGGCUUACCAAGGCGACGAUCCGUAGCUGGUCUGAGAGGACGACCAGCCACACUGGGACUGAGACACGGCCCAGACUCCUACGGGAGGCAGCAGUGGGGAAUUUUGGACAAUGGGGGCAACCCUGAUCCAGCCAUGCCGCGUGCGGGAAGAAGGCCUUCGGGUUGUAAACCGCUUUUGUUCGGGAAGAAAUAAUCUGGGCUAAUACCCCGGGGGGAUGACGGUACCGGAAGAAUAAGCACCGGCUAACUACGUG
RNAcentral lists this ribosomal RNA (484 nucleotides) under uncultured bacterium. Its description in RNAcentral is "partial 16S ribosomal RNA". It matches the Rfam family "Bacterial small subunit ribosomal RNA", at positions 29 to 507 of the family's 1533-position model. The record is from RNAcentral.